RNAcentral lists this long non-coding RNA (985 nucleotides) under Sinocyclocheilus anshuiensis. RNAcentral's name for it is "lncRNA (ENSSANG00000030397.1)". The record is from RNAcentral. Lineage: Eukaryota; Metazoa; Chordata; Actinopteri; Cypriniformes; Cyprinidae.
AUAAAUCUAUUAAUAAAAGUUAUGGAAAUGUCUUGGAAACUCAUUGGGCAAAUGUGUAGGAACCGUUCAGUUUGAACAAAUAAUCCUAAAUGGAUACAGAAGAGCAUAUGAUCAAAUAAAAACUUUCUGAACCAUUUAACCAUAUAACCAACAAUAGCAUUCCAGACAACAAAACUAACCUACACAAUAUAGGUACACAGGUGUUGAGAAAUCACCUCUCCUGUCUCAAAGCAUUUACCUGAAAUCAUGUGACUCUGAUCCUGCUUAAUAUGGCAAAACAGGAAAUGCAUUAAGGAGGGAAAGUGAGGAAUAAAAAGAGGACAGUUCUGUGCACACUCUAGUGCAAACACACUCGAGAGACAUUCUUGUGAAUGACACAGCUUUAGAGAAAUGGCUUUCAGGACUCAGCAAGCAAGUGUCUGCCCGCUUCUCCUAAUCUCAUUCUGCUUACACUUCAUCACAGAUAACAGGGCCACUGCAAUAUCCAUUCGAGAAAAAUGUGAGUGUGCUGAGGAAACUGGCUCAGUGCAAUGGAGAAAAAUUACAGACUACACGAUCAUACAGAAAGAUCCUCUUUGCAACAAGGUUCAAAUCAUACUCCAGCUGUCAGGUAAACGAUCUUGUCUAAAUCCAGAGUCCAAGCAGGGGAAAAAACUACAAAGAUGCUGGAGAAGAAUUAAAUUCAACACACAGAAGAAGAAGGUCUGUCUGAAGCUCAAGAAGAAGAAUGGACCAAAAAAGCCCAAGAGGCAUUAAUUCAACAAUCUUUACCUUUUCUGUGUAGAAAGACUAUGUGCCUGUACUUUGUCAUUUACCCUGCCAGUCCUUUAUUUGCACAAAUAAAUGAUAUAUGUAUUAUGUAGAUGGAAUUUGUGUAUAUCUAUAUUUUGUACUGCUAUUUUCUAAUAAAAACGUAUAAAAGUUUUUGCAUGGUUUCGUGCAAUUGAUGUGAUAAUUAGCUUAUAUCAUUUUAUGUCCAUAUUUA